GGAUGUCGGAGGUUAAAGUCCUCCCUACUGCUCAAAGAAAGGAGAUUCUAACUCCCACCCCUAACUCCC
Molecule: transfer RNA, 69 nt
Filed under: Pholis crassispina
Lineage: Eukaryota; Metazoa; Chordata; Actinopteri; Perciformes; Pholidae
Description: tRNA-Pro
Source: RNAcentral